CGGACGGGUGAGUAAUGUCUGGGAAACUGCCUGAUGGAGGGGAUAACUACUGGAAACGGUAGCUAAUACCGCAUAACGUCGCAAGACCAAAGAGGGGGACCUUCGGGCCUCUUGCCAUCGGAUGUGCCCAGAUGGGAUUAGCUAGUAGGUGGGGUAACGGCUCACCUAGGCGACGAUCCCUAGCUGGUCUGAGAGGAUGACCAGCCACACUGGAACUGAGACACGGUCCAG
This 231-nucleotide ribosomal RNA is filed under the name uncultured bacterium. Its description in RNAcentral is "partial 16S ribosomal RNA". It matches the Rfam family "Bacterial small subunit ribosomal RNA", at positions 99 to 334 of the family's 1533-position model. The record is from RNAcentral.